RNAcentral lists this ribosomal RNA (500 nucleotides) under uncultured bacterium. RNAcentral's name for it is "partial 16S ribosomal RNA". It matches the Rfam family "Bacterial small subunit ribosomal RNA", at positions 30 to 523 of the family's 1533-position model. The record is from RNAcentral.
AUUGAACGCUGGCGGAAUGCUUUACACAUGCAAGUCGAACGGCAGCACGGGGGCAACCCUGGUGGCGAGUGGCGAACGGGUGAGUAAUACAUCGGAACGUGCCCAGUCGUGGGGGAUAACGUAGCGAAAGUUACGCUAAUACCGCAUACGAUCUAUGGAUGAAAGCGGGGGAUCGCAAGACCUCGCGCGAUUGGAGCGGCCGAUAUCAGAUUAGGUAGUUGGUGGGGUAAAGGCCCACCAAGCCAACGAUCUGUAGCUAGUCUGCGAGGACGACCAGCCACACUGGAACUGAGACACGGUCCAGACUCCUACGGGAGGCAGCAGUGGGGAAUUUUGGACAAUGGGCGAAAGCCUGAUCCAGCCAUUCCGCGUGCAGGAUGAAGGCCCUCGGGUUGUAAACUGCUUUUGUACAGAACGAAAAGGUUUCUACUAAUACUAGGAGCUCAUGACGGUACUGUAAGAAUAAGCACCGGCUAACUACGUGCCAGCAGCCGCGGUAA